Molecule: long non-coding RNA, 1236 nt
Filed under: Pan troglodytes (chimpanzee)
Lineage: Eukaryota; Metazoa; Chordata; Mammalia; Primates; Hominidae
Description: long non-coding RNA NONPTRT008996
Source: RNAcentral
UCAUAAGGAGAAAUUGCUCCAGGUAAAAGUCAUCACAAUAAAUGGUUUCUUUUAUUUUUUUUUAAUAACACCCUGUUUCAAUGAGCUGCCUACAAUCCCACCAUUAAUGCUUCAGUGUUUUGGCUUAAUGCUGGCUUCAAGUAGUUCUUUUCAAGAAGCAAAUACCCCUGAGUUUAUAAAUCAAUACAGCUAAGGCUCCCCAUAAAUGCACCCAAACCUUCCAGAAUUCCACACGGAAACACUCCCAAAGGCAUUCAGAAUGGACCAGAGCUUCAUCCUGCUGCCUUUUGCAUGAUUUCUCAGGGCCUUGCAAUUAAGACAAUUGUUUCAUCUUGUGUGAUGAUGUGAAGAGGAUCCAAGAAGUGGCAGCAUAUCACUCCCACAGUAGCUUAGGACAGGGCAAGCAGGUACAGCACAAAUGUUGCACAGAAUUUUCCAGGUGGAGGGACAGAGGAAGAUAGAAAAAGUUGGCAUCAUGGGCAGGAACACAAUGUAGCUUCCCUGGGAGAAGAAGGGACAGUUGCUAGGCUCAAUUCUGCUCAGCCUUUACUGAACCCCACCAGGCUGGGCACCAUGCUUGGCAUAGGGCAUAAAACAAGGAAGUCAGCAGAGGGGGCAGCUUGGUACAGUUAGUGAGAACAUAGGCUUUGGAGGUAAAUAUUCUGUAUCAACCCAUUUUCAUACUGCUUUGAAGAAAUACCCAAGACUGGAUAAUUUAUAGAGAAAAAGAGGUUUAAUGGACUCACAGUUCCACAUGGCUGGAAAGGCCUCAAAAUCAUGGAGAAAGGCAAAGGAGGAGCAAAGGCACAUCUUACAUGGCAGCAGGCAAGAGAGCGUGUUCAGGGAACUGCCCUUUAUAAAACCUUCAGAUCUCAUGAGACUUAUUCACUACCAUGAGAAUAGCACGGGCAAGGCUCUCCCCCAUGAUUUAAUUACCUCCCACCAGGUCCCUCCCAUGACAUGGGCAAAUUAUGGGAGCUACAAUUCAAGAUGAGAUUUGGGUGGGGACACGGCCAAACCAUAUCAUAUGCAUUCACUCAUUUCGUUCAGCUAAUAUUUAUUGAUCACCUGUUAUGCUGUAGGCACUGAGUACAGUUGUAAAAAAGCCAAGUAUAAGUGCUGCUCUUGUAGAAUUUAUGUUCCAGGAGAGAAAUGCAAUAAAUAUUAGUGCUUACUACAGGCCAGGCAUUAUCUCCAGUACUUUGUAUAUGCAUUAAAUGUUACUCACAAGAAACC